GCUAACACAUGCAAGUCGAACGAACUCUUCGGAGUUAGUGGCGGACGGGUGAGUAACACGUGGGAACGUGCCUUUAGGUUCGGAAUAACUCAGGGAAACUUGUGCUAAUACCGAAUGUGCCCUUCGGGGGAAAGAUUUAUCGCCUUUAGAGCGGCCCGCGUCUGAUUAGCUAGUUGGUGAGGUAAAGGCUCACCAAGGCGACGAUCAGUAGCUGGUCUGAGAGGAUGAUCAGCCACAUUGGGACUGAGACACGGCCCAAACUCCUACGGGAGGCAGCAGUGGGGAAUCUUGCGCAAUGGGCGAAAGCCUGACGCAGCCAUGCCGCGUGAAUGAUGAAGGUCUUAGGAUUGUAAAAUUCUUUCACCGGGGACGAUAAUGACGGUACCCGGAGAAGAAGCCCCGGCUAACUUCGUGCCAGCAGCCGCGGUAAUACGAAGGGGGCUAGCGUUGCUCGGAAUUACUGGGCGUAAAGGGAGCGUAGGCGGACAUUUAAGUCAGGGGUGAAAUCCCGGGGCUCAACCUCGGAAUUGCCUUUGAUACUGGGUGUCUUGAGUAUGAGAGAGGUGUGUGGAACUCCGAGUGUAAGGUGAAAUUCGUANAUAUUCGGAAGAACACCAGUGGCGAAGGCGACACACUGGCUCAUUACUGACGCUGAGGCUCAAAGCGUGGGGAGCAAACAGGAUUAAAUACC
Molecule: ribosomal RNA, 691 nt
Filed under: Brevundimonas sp. Muzt-F91
Lineage: Bacteria; Pseudomonadati; Pseudomonadota; Alphaproteobacteria; Caulobacterales; Caulobacteraceae
Description: bacterial SSU rRNA
Rfam family: Bacterial small subunit ribosomal RNA
Source: RNAcentral